This 253-nucleotide ribosomal RNA is filed under the name uncultured bacterium. RNAcentral's name for it is "partial 16S ribosomal RNA". It matches the Rfam family "Bacterial small subunit ribosomal RNA", at positions 524 to 776 of the family's 1533-position model. The record is from RNAcentral.
UACGUAGGGUCCGAGCGUUGUCCGGAAUUAUUGGGCGUAAAGGGCUCGUAGGCGGUCUGUCGCGUCGGGAGUGAAAACUCAGGGCUCAACCCUGAGCGUGCUUCCGAUACGGGCAGACUAGAGGUAUGCAGGGGAGAACGGAAUUCCUGGUGUAGCGGUGGAAUGCGUAGAGAUCGGGAAGAACAUCGGUGGCGAAGGCGGCCUGCUGGGCCGUUGCUGACGCUGAGGCGCGACAGCGUGGGGAGCAAACAGG